GAGUUUGAUCGUGGCUCAGAUUGAACGCUGGCGGCAGGCCUAACACAUGCAAGUCGAGCGGUAGAGAGAAGCUUGCUUCUCUUGAGAGCGGCGGACGGGUGAGUAAUGCCUAGGAAUCUGCCUGGUAGUGGGGGAUAACGCUCGGAAACGGACGCUAAUACCGCAUACGUCCUACGGGAGAAAGCAGGGGACCUUCGGGCCUUGCGCUAUCAGAUGAGCCUAGGUCGGAUUAGCUAGUUGGUGAGGUAAUGGCUCACCAAGGCGACGAUCCGUAACUGGUCUGAGAGGAUGAUCAGUCACACUGGAACUGAGACACGGUCCAGACUCCUACGGGAGGCAGCAGUGGGGAAUAUUGGACAAUGGGCGAAAGCCUGAUCCAGCCAUGCCGCGUGUGUGAAGAAGGUCUUCGGAUUGUAAAGCACUUUAAGUUGGGAGGAAGGGCAGUAAAUUAAUACUUUGCUGUUUUGACGUUUACCGACAGAAUAAGCACCGGCUAACUCUGUGCCAGCCGCCG
Molecule: ribosomal RNA, 514 nt
Filed under: uncultured bacterium
Lineage: Bacteria
Description: bacterial SSU rRNA
Rfam family: Bacterial small subunit ribosomal RNA
Source: RNAcentral